Molecule: ribosomal RNA, 253 nt
Filed under: uncultured bacterium
Lineage: Bacteria
Description: partial 16S ribosomal RNA
Rfam family: Bacterial small subunit ribosomal RNA
Source: RNAcentral
GACGAGGGAUCCUAGCGUUGUUCGGAAUUAUUGGGCGUAAAGCGGGUGUAGGUGGCUGUGUAAGUCGGGUGUGAAAGCCUGGGGCUCAACCCCAGAAGUGCAUUCGAUACUGCGUAGCUUGAGUGGUAGAGAGGAUAGUAGAAUUGUUGGUGUAGUGGUGAAAUACGUAGAUAUCUACAGGAAUACCGGUGGCGAAGGCGGCUAUCUGGCUACACACUGACACUCAGACCCGAAAGCGUGGGGAUCAAACAGG